Molecule: ribosomal RNA, 1200 nt
Filed under: Triticum aestivum (bread wheat)
Lineage: Eukaryota; Viridiplantae; Streptophyta; Magnoliopsida; Poales; Poaceae
Description: partial small subunit ribosomal RNA
Source: RNAcentral
GGCCAGUCCACCGGUCCACUGCCACUGGUCACGGUCUCCGUGAAAACCACGGCGGCGCCCCUGACUUGCCGUGCAGCAGCGGCAGGGCCCGUACCUUCCUCCGCUCCUUCCGCCCUCCCUAUCCCGUCCCACCCACGCCCGCCCUAUCCAAGUACCGGAUCCAGCCCGCCCGCGGCACGGGGAAGCCACCAAACCGGGGCGGGGAAAGAGACGAAAAGCAAGGCGACGAGCGCCAACCCUUCCUCGCAUCACGCAGGCCACGCCACGCCACACGCGCGCCUGAUCCGUAGGGAUCCGGCAGCCGCCCGGCCAUGACGAGCGCCUCCGAGCUCUUCACCGCCCGCCGCGCCCGCGCGCCCCGCCUCUCCGACCCGGGGGACCCCGGCCCGGACCCGCUCGCCGACGCGCCGCAGGACCCGCACGGCCUCGCCGCCCGCCGCCGCCGCCGGGGCUGCCGCGCGCGCCGCCAGCUCGACGCCGCCGGGGACGUGCGCCAGCACCUCCACACCGGCCCCCCGCCCCCGCGCCGACGCGGCUCCUACACGGACCGUAUCUUGUCAUACAUAGACAAUAGCAACAUUGGGGAUUCUGCAGCUACAAGGAACCGACUUGACAGGCUGAUGUUCAGAACAAAUGAGCGGCUUCCCGGUGCCGUACUGCAAGCUCAGGCACGUGUUCUGGAGAGACUGAGAGGCGUUUCUAUCGGAUCAUCUACCUCCAGGCCAUCCAUCACAUUGGAUGAAUUUUCAGCUACGGAUGUGUUUAGAAUCAUCGACUUCGGAAGCAGAGAAGCCCCAUACGAGGCUAAUUGGCCUGGCUCAUCAUCUGUCCAGCCAAGCAGCGGGUCGGAUGAAGAGAGCUUGGAGAACACAUCCAUCAGUUCAACUACUUCCAACAGGUCACCUGGACUGAGCAAGUCUGCCUUUCUUCGGCUACAGAUAGAGAUCUUUGAGGCUAAGAAAGAUGACAACAGGGAGGCAUCGCCGGAAUGCUCGAUUUGUCUCGAUGGUUUCUACGACAGAGACGAGCUGAUAAGGCUGCGCUGCGGACACAGGUUCCACUCGACUUGCUUGGAGCCAUGGGUGCGGAAAUGCGCAGAUUGCCCAUACUGUCGAACAAACAUAAGGUCCCGGCCCUGAUGACAGACCCUCGGUCCAGAACUGCAACAUUGAGUAGGGGGACAAAAUACGUCGAAAUGAG